Molecule: long non-coding RNA, 1423 nt
Filed under: Oryza sativa Indica Group (long-grained rice)
Lineage: Eukaryota; Viridiplantae; Streptophyta; Magnoliopsida; Poales; Poaceae
Description: lncRNA OsIR64_01g0028950
Source: RNAcentral
GGAAAUGGGUCGCGACCCAACCCACGCAUUCCGCCCCCGGCUCCGAUCUGCUAAGCCCCCUCGGAUCGGGUUGCGGGUCCCCUCCUCCCCCCCGACCCACCACCGCUCGCCGCCGGCCGCCUCCGACGAGUGGGCGAUCAUAUUUAGAUACAAGAUAGCAUGCUGGAGCCAACAGCUAUGGAAGUGCCGAUUACUAGCUCAGUGAACACUGCAGUGGUGCCUGUGCCUGUGGUGCACAAUCCACGGGCACGGAAAUUGCGGUCUGCAGUUUGGCAGGACUUCACUAAGGAACGGCGUGCUGAUGGAAGCUGUGUUGCUGUCUGUAACCACUGUAAGAAGCAGCUCACAGCUACUAGCCGGUCAGGCACCACACACCUACGCAACCACCUCGCAAUCUGCACCACCACCUCCACGCGUCGUGCUGGUAAGCGCCGGAAGCUUAUUGUGCGCCAUGAUCAGAUUGCUAGUCUCAUUCUAGAGAAGUUGCGUGAGUGGGGUAUUGACAGGAAGCUAGCUGCCAUUGUACUGGACAACUGCGCCUCUGGUGAGAUUGUUGCUAGAGAGCUUCUCGUAGUUCUGCAGCCUAGGAGACUCCUCCUAUUAAAUGGGAAUUUGUUCCAGGUGCGCUCUUGUGCGCACAUUCUUAACCUCACAGUCCAAGAAAGCUUAGAACAGACAUCUGAUAUAAUUACUAGAGUCCGUGAGAUGAUUCAGAAUGUCAAGUUCUCACAAGAAAGGUUCGAAAAGUUUCAGGAUACUGCAAAACUGUUGCAGAUGGACCAAAAACUGCUAGUUCUUGAUUCUCCUAAUAACUGGCCGUCUACAUACUUAAUGUUUGAUUCUGCAUGUUACUAUCAUGAUGUUCUCAUGCGCCUUGCAGAACAGGAAGCACAUUAUGGUGCUUUUCUCACUGCGAAGGAGUGGGCCGAUGUGAAAGCCCUCACUGAAAUACUUGAUGCGCUCUAUCAUAAGAUGGAGAAGUUUCCUGUGGAAAAUCCGACUGCAAAUCUCUAUUUUAAUGACAUGUGUGAGGUGCAUGUUCUUUUGAAUACCUGGCGUAAUAGUCCAUCUCCUGUUGUUGCACAAGUGGCUGACCGAAUGCUGACAAAAUUUGAGGGGUACUGGGAUCUUACUAGACCAGUAAUGGCAUUCGCAUCUAUUCUGGAUCCUCGAUAUAAGAUGAAGUCUGUUGAGUACUUCUGUAGACUCAUUUAUGCUGCUGAUCAAUUUAGAGCAAAGACAACAAUAGAUGACAUUCGGCAGAGUUUUACCAAUUUGUGCAGUGAAUAUGAACAGUCAGGAAAUUCAUUCAAGAAUCCAUCUGCUCUCUUCUACUCUGCAACCAGUAAUUCUUGCAUGAGUUCGGUAUACAGCAAUGGUGAUGAUUUUAAGACCUUCUCCCGUAUCACAUUAUCUGAUGCUC